GAAAGGCGCGCGAUACAGGGUGACAGCCCCGUACACAAAAAUGCACAUGCUGUGAGCUCGAUGAGUAGGGCGGGACACGUGGUAUCCUGUCUGAAUAUGGGGGGACCAUCCUCCAAGGCUAAAUACUCCUGACUGACCGAUAGUGAACCAGUACCGUGAGGGAAAGGCGAAAAGAACCCCGGCGAGGGGAGUGAAAAAGAACCUGAAACCGUG
RNAcentral lists this ribosomal RNA (213 nucleotides) under Escherichia coli. RNAcentral describes it as "partial 23S ribosomal RNA". It matches the Rfam family "Bacterial large subunit ribosomal RNA", at positions 345 to 560 of the family's 2925-position model. The record is from RNAcentral. Lineage: Bacteria; Pseudomonadati; Pseudomonadota; Gammaproteobacteria; Enterobacterales; Enterobacteriaceae.